GCGUUCGUAAAUCAAAAAACCACAAAAAAUGUGUGUCCUUCCCUCGAUUGGUGUUUCCUCCUCACUCUAGGGUUUCUGAUCGACCAGCUCUACUCUCAGUGUCCGACUGGUGAUCGAACUGAGAAAAAAACUAACUUUUAAAGAUAAUUUGUAUUUAGUCGUGGAAUUUCUGGAUAAAGGUUAGUGGGUUUUACCUUUUUCUGGCUCUUUAGUUUCUCUUUUUUUCCAUUUCUUGUGCUUACUCUUGUUCUUGUGUGCAUUCUUUGCAUAAAUGUUAAUCUUUUGUUGAAUUAUAUUCAUUGAAUUACUUUAGUUUUGUUAAAAUUUGUGAUACUGUGGUAUGUAUUCUUACUACUUUAAAUUAGUGUUUGGACAACGUGCAUUGUAUUUUGAUAGUUUUGAGGUAGUUUUCUGCUGUUGUGAAGUGAUGGAAUGUUGCUGCGGAGGUGAUUGUAGGAGCAUUUUUGAAAGAGUUUGGUGGAUAAAUGUGGUGAUGAUGUUGGAAUCUGGAGUUUUGAGAAGCAAGGAGGUUUGGGUUGAUUCAUUUUCAGUCUCCUGUUUAUUCUAGAAUGUGGAUAAUGUGGACUCCAAUGGGCUUUCUCUAGUGUGUAUGGAUUCCAAUGGGCUUCUUUAUGACCUUCUUUUAAAGAUGUUGAGGGAUGGUAAGGAGAUGUGUUGGUAGUUGUGCAAAGAUUUUUAUGAAUUGGGGACAUUUGUGAAGAGCUUGAAUGCAUCAUUUAUGGUAUUGGUUUCCAAGAAAGGGGCGGUAGUGAAUAUUAGGGAUUUUAGACCUAUCAACCUGGUUGGGGAGAAGUUGUUUGAUAAAAGUCCAACCUACCCUGUGGUGGUGUGCCAACCUAAUAAUAAGGGGAUAUAUGAUCAUCUUUUCAAAA
Camellia sinensis is the source of this 893-nucleotide non-coding RNA. The record is from RefSeq and is a predicted model, not a curated record. Lineage: Eukaryota; Viridiplantae; Streptophyta; Magnoliopsida; Ericales; Theaceae.